CAUUAAAUCCAUCUUACUACUGACUACAUCAAGACGUCCUUGGCUGAUCUCAAAAGGCUAAGCAGCAGUGAGCCUGGAUGGUAUCAGGAUGGGAGACCACUAAGAGAUCCCAGGGAUGAAAGC
This 123-nucleotide ribosomal RNA is filed under the name Salvator merianae (Argentine black and white tegu). The record is from RNAcentral. Lineage: Eukaryota; Metazoa; Chordata; Lepidosauria; Squamata; Teiidae.